Molecule: long non-coding RNA, 898 nt
Filed under: Homo sapiens (human)
Lineage: Eukaryota; Metazoa; Chordata; Mammalia; Primates; Hominidae
Description: HSALNT0034397
Source: RNAcentral
UGUGGUCACAUGGUCUCUGUCGAAUUACUCAACUCUGCCGCUGUAGCACAAAAACAGUCAUAGUACAUAAACAAAUGAACAUGGCUGUUUGAAUAAAACUUAUGAACACUGAAAUUUGAAUGUCAUAUAAUUUCCUCAUGGUACAAAAUAUUUUGUUUAAAGACAGUUUUAAAACGUCCUUGAAAAGUGUUAAAACCAUUCUUAGCUCACGGACCCUAUAAAAACAGGCAACAGGAUGGAUUUAACCCACAAGCUAUAUAGUUGGCUAACCCCUGGCCUUAAAAUUAUUGCUAAGUCAGUGGCAGUAGGGAUGAGAAGGAGAAGAAGGUUCAAACAAUGUUUGGGAGGAAGCAUUGAAAGGAGUCGAUAACUGAUCAAGGGAAGAUAAGAUCUAUUUUGUACAUAAUGAAGAUAUAUGUGGGACAAAUAGAGAUACAGAGGUCUAGGAGGUGGUUGGAUACAUAAGUCUGAAUUUCAGGAGACAGAUCUGAGCUAGAGAUUUGGGAGUCCACUACCUGUAGGUAAUAUUUGGAGCCAUGGUCAUGAAUGGCAAGCUGCGUAAGGAGACUGGAUGAAGCAUGAGAAGUAGGCCAAGGACAGAACCUCGGGAAAUACUAACAGAAGAGGAGAACAUGGAGGCUUCAGGGAAUCUGUAGAAUCAAUUAUGAGCCUUAGGAUGAUCACAAGAGAAUGGCCUCAAGGAAGCUAAAUGAAAGAUUUUCAAGAAUGAAGAAAAGAGUGUUAAAUGCCACCAAAGAGUAUUAAGAGAAAGACUGAAACACUGUUUAUUGGAUUUGACAAUUAGAAGGAUAUAGGUGACCUCACCAAGAGUAGUUUUAAUAGUGUGAAUUAAUAUUUGUCAUGUGGUUGAAUCAGGGAAAAGGCUUUCUGGGAAGAG